CCUACGGGCGGCAGCAGUAGGGAAUCUUCCGCAAUGGACGAAAGUCUGACGGAGCAACGCCGCGUGAGUGAUGAAGGUUUUCGGAUCGUAAAGCUCUGUUGUUAGGGAAGAACAAGUGCGAGAGUAACUGCUCGCACCUUGACGGUACCUAACCAGAAAGCCACGGCUAACUACGUGCCAGCAGCCGCGGUCAUACGUAGGGUGCAAGCAUUAUCCGGAGUGACUGGGCGUAAAGAGUUGCGUAGGCGGUUCGUAAAGUGAAUAGUGAAACCUGGUGGCUCAACCACACGGACUAUUAUUCAAACUCACGAACUCGAGAAUGGUAGAGGUAACUGGAAUUUCUUGUGUAGGAGUGAAAUCCGUAGAUAUAAGAAGGAACACCAAUGGCGUAGGCAGGUUACUGGACCAUUUCUGACGCUAAGGCACGAAAGCGUGGGGAGCGAACCGGAUUAGAUACCCCUGUAGUC
Molecule: ribosomal RNA, 467 nt
Filed under: uncultured bacterium
Lineage: Bacteria
Description: bacterial SSU rRNA
Rfam family: Bacterial small subunit ribosomal RNA
Source: RNAcentral